CCCACAGCCAACAUCACACUCGUCGGUGAGAGGCUGACACCUUGCGCUCUGAGAGUGGGAACAGGGCAAGGACAUCCUCUGUCACCACUCGCCUUCUGUCCUACGGAGUGCAAUUAGAUCAGAAGAAGAAAUAAGUGGCACGUGAUUGGAAAGGAAGAGAUAAAACUGUCUUUGUUCACAGACGACACCCAGCAGCGGAGGUGUGUCUAGAGAGAGAGGUGACUUCAAGGGUUGACUUACGCAGUUGUGGGGGCUGGUCCCGGCCACACCUGCAGGGUGGGCGGGCAAACUGGAGACCCAGGGGAGCGCCGACGGUGCAGCCUGGAGCCCCAGGGCCGCCCGGAGGAGAAUCCCUCCGCUGGGGAUGGUCAGUCCUUUCCAUCAAGGUCUUCACCUGACUGGAUGAAGUCCACGCAUCAGUAAUCUGAUUACAGAGGCUGAUGGGCUCUACUCAAAGGCUGCUGACUCAAACGUUAAUCUGCCUAAAGAAUAUCUUCACAGAAAAGGGAACGCUUGUGCGCUGCUGGUGGGAAUAUAAAUUGGUACAGUCAUUAUGGGAAGUAGUUUAGAGGUUACUCAAAAAAUUAAAAAUAGAACUACGAUAGGAUCGAGCAUUCCCACUUCUGGGUAUAUAUUCAAGGGAAUGGAAACCCUCUCACAGAGAGACCUGUGUGCCAGGUUCACUGAGCCUUAUUCACAGCAGCAAAGACAGGGAAACAGCCGGAAUGUCCAUCACAGAUGAAUGCACAUACGUAUACGUAUCUCAUUUUCUUAAUUUUUCAACAAAAAAAAGAAGGAAAUCCUGCCAUUCACAACAACAUGGAUGGGCCUGGAGGACACUACGCUGAGUGAAAUAAGUCAGACACAGAAAGACAAACAGUGCAUCAUCUCACUUAUAUGUGGGUCUGAAAAGAUGGAACCAGGAGUAGAAUGGGGUUUGUCAGGGGCUGCAGGUGGAGAGACGGGAGAAGCUGGUCAAGGGUACAAGCUUCCAGUCACAAGGUCCAGGUUCCCGAAGUCUGGUCCGUGGAGGGAAACGUGUGUGGAAUGAACCCUCUGCGGGUCUCCAAUCUGGCUGCUUUCCAGGGCCUUGUGGGGACAAGCCUGGCACCAGUGCAAAGGCAGAGCCCCGACAGCCCCCUUUUGGGACCUGGUUCCUCCGAGGUCCUGCAUCUGCGCCAGUGGCGAGAGAAUGAAGGAGCAGGCCAGGCUGUUUUCUCAGGACAUCAAACAGAUCGACCAGGAUGUGAACCAAACAUUCUGAAACCAUAUUAUGU
This 1277-nucleotide long non-coding RNA is filed under the name Equus caballus (horse). RNAcentral describes it as "lncRNA (ENSECAG00000044103.1)". The record is from RNAcentral. Lineage: Eukaryota; Metazoa; Chordata; Mammalia; Perissodactyla; Equidae.